UUAAAAUGCGUGUUAUACCAGCCUGAGUGUGGGAUCAGGAGUUGAGAACACGGACAUGUCUGCUGUGACUGCGUGGCGCUGCUCCACUUUGCUGUCUGUUGGACUCUCUGCAGAGCAGGAAACCAUCACAGCCAAAGCUGGACAGAACAUCGUUCUGUCAUGUUGAGCUCCAGACAGCAGCAUCAGAGUUGUAGAGUGGAGCAGAGCUGACCUGGAGCCAGAACAUGUCCUUGUUUACCGGGAUGAGCAGUUUGAUCUAGAAGACCAGCAUCCAUCUUUUAAGAACCGGGUGGAUCUGCAGGACAGACAGAUGAAGGAUGGAGACGUGUCUCUGAUUCUGAAGGAUGUGACGACUAAUGAUGAAGGAGCAUACGUGUGUUGUGUCAGCGUGGAAGAAAAACACUCAUGGAAUCUCAUCAGCGUCAUCCACCUUCAUGUUGUUCCUCCAGCUCAGACAGGAGGAGACACAGAGGAUGGAUUAUAUGAACUGACAUGUGGACUGGGAGUUGCUCUGUCACUUUGUCUUGUGAUUGCUGUUGUUGGGUUUUGCACAUACAAAUGUCGACUGUCCCAAAACACUACUCCACCUCGUCAGACUCCACAGCAGAACUAUGAGUUGGAUGAUCUGAGGACAGGCUGUAGAUUAGAAACAUCCAGAGUUUGAUUAUCUUUAUCAUUUCUCUGAUAUCAUGUUGACACUCA
Long non-coding RNA from Oreochromis aureus, 702 nucleotides. NCBI's taxonomy places the organism in Eukaryota, Metazoa, Chordata, Actinopteri, Cichliformes, Cichlidae. The record is from Ensembl.